Molecule: long non-coding RNA, 488 nt
Organism: Ostrea edulis (European flat oyster)
Lineage: Eukaryota; Metazoa; Mollusca; Bivalvia; Ostreida; Ostreidae
Exons: 3
Source: RefSeq, a predicted model, not a curated record
UAGAAUACAUAUAUAUUUCAUCUUUACUGGUACUAGUGAGAUUGCAAGAUCAAAGAUUCACUUUAGGGUUUAUAUUUUAACAACAGCACACUGAAAGGCGAGGAUAACGAACAGUGAUCAAUCUCAUGACUCCUUUAAGCAAUACAAAAUAGAGAGUUGGGCAAACACGGACCCCUGGAUAGAGGUGGGAUCAGGUGCCUAGGAGGAGUAAGCAUUCCCUGUCGACUGGUCACACCCACCGUGAGCCCUAUAUCUUGAUCAGGUUUUCUGAGGACAGAGCACACACUGGGAGGGACUCCACCUCACCAAUCACCGAUAUCGUGUUUCCCUUCACCACCAGACUAUUGUCAGAUGAUUAACCAAGUUAUCACUUCAAGACAAGGGAAAGUCCGUGAUUAUUAUUUUACAAACCCAGAACAUACCAUCAAACAUGUUUUUCUUCAUGCAGCCAUCCUGCCCAUGGUAACCAAAGGUGGGUUUCCCAUCCU